RNAcentral lists this ribosomal RNA (465 nucleotides) under uncultured bacterium. Its description in RNAcentral is "bacterial SSU rRNA". It matches the Rfam family "Bacterial small subunit ribosomal RNA", at positions 345 to 802 of the family's 1533-position model. The record is from RNAcentral.
GAGGCAGCAGUGAGGAAUAUUGGGCAAUGGACGAAAGUCUGACCCAGCAACGCCGCGUGGAGGAUGAAUGCCGUAAGGUUGUAAACUCCUUUUGAGAGGGACGAAAACCCAUAUUUCGUAAGGGAUAUGGUUUGACUGUACCUCUAGAAGAAGCCCCGGCUAACUACGUGCCAGCAGCCGCGGUAAUACGUAGGGGGCAAGCGUUGUCCGGAUUUACUGGGUGUAAAGAGUCCGUAGGCGGGUAAAUAAGUCAUUGGUGAAAUCUCACAGCUCAACUGUGAAACUGCCUUUGAUACUGUUUAUCUUGAGUGUGAGAGAGGAUGAUGGAAUUCAUGGUGUAGCGGUGAAAUGCGUAGAUAUCAUGAAGAACACCAGUAGCGAAGGCGGUCAUCUGGCUCACAACUGACGCUGAGGGACGAAAGCGUGGGGAGCAAACAGGAUUAGAUACCCCAGUAGUCCAAGCCG